AUACGGAGGGAGCAAGCGUUAUUCGGAAUCACUGGGCGUAAAGGACGCGUAGGCGGGUUUGUAAGUCAGGUGUGAAAUCCUACAGCUCAACUGUAGAACUGCACUUGAAACUACAGACCUAGAGUAUGGAAGGGGCAGAUGGAAUUAGAGGUGUAGGGGUAAAAUCCGUAGAUAUCACUAGGAAUACCGAAAGCGAAGGCGAUCUGCUGGGACAUUACUGACGCUGAGGCGUGAAAGCGUGGGGAGCAAACAGGAUUAGAAACCCUGGUAGUCC
Molecule: ribosomal RNA, 274 nt
Filed under: uncultured bacterium
Lineage: Bacteria
Description: partial 16S ribosomal RNA
Rfam family: Bacterial small subunit ribosomal RNA
Source: RNAcentral